This 253-nucleotide ribosomal RNA is filed under the name uncultured microorganism. RNAcentral describes it as "partial 16S ribosomal RNA". It matches the Rfam family "Bacterial small subunit ribosomal RNA", at positions 524 to 776 of the family's 1533-position model. The record is from RNAcentral.
UACGUAGGGUGCGAGCGUUAAUCGGAUUUACUGGGCGUAAAGCGCGCGUAGGCGGUGCGGUAAGUCAGGGGUUAAAGGCUGCAGCUCAACUGCAGUAAGGCCUUUGAUACUAUCGCGCUAGAGUACCAGAGAGGAUGGCGGAAUUCCCGGUGUAGCGGUGAAAUGCGUAGAUAUAUGGAGGAACACCGGUGGCGAAAGCGGCUCUCUGGACUGUCACUGACACUGAGGCUCGAAAGCGUGGGUAGCAAACAGG